AGUUCGAGAUGUGACGCCAUGGGGAAGGAAGCCGGAACUAUUCUCCGCUAAUGGACAUUGAGAAACAGCGAACCGGAAAUGAAGAACAUCUUCCCAGGAGAAAGGAAGGACAGCUGCUGGCGCUGGCGCUGAGAGGAACAACUCAGGAGGGGAUUCCGCGAGGGCAGACUAACUGGAGUGUCUGUAUGCAGCGAGGAGAUAGGCUGGGGAUGAGUCUUUGCUUCCCUCCGUUGUCUGUCAUCCUGUGGGAAGUCAAUGGACCACUUGUGCUUACUUCUGAGCUCCAAUCCUAUGCUAUUUAUCAUGUGCCUAUUCUUACCCUCAUGUCUGUGGUUUCACAAGAUUUGAAAUAGGAAUUGGGCUUCUCCAGCUUUGUCCUCAAAACUGUCUUUAGAGUCAGCUAAUGUUUUGCACAGUAAAUCUUGUCCAGGAAUGUCUUCAGUUCUGGGAAGUCAAGGAUGCUGUCAGUGCUCAGCUGUACUGGAGUCUGAAGAGGAGAAGAUGCUGAGUGCACGCCAGUGUACCUACUCUUCUAGCUCUAACUGCUCUCUCCCAGGGCACAGCCUGCUAGUCCCAUGGUGGGAAGAGAGGAGGCAGUGCCGUUUUGUGGGCAAUACUGGGAAGAUAACAGAACCCAAAGUUGUCCUACCAGCCUAUCCUCAUUUGCAACCUUAAAAUACCUGCCUUGUUCCAGAUACAGUCACCUCUUCUUCUCAAAGAGUUUAUUACAAAAAAAAAAAAACUAAUGAGGUACAGGGCCAGUUCUGAGCUCUUCUUCAACUCCUCUGGGGUUCGGUUAAGCAGAGGGAAGUAUCAAUAGGAUUACUUGGGUUUGUAAUUAAACGUAGUUGCUCAAUGAAUAUUUGUCUUUGGUCAGCACUGACAACAGUUCUUUGCCCAGGACAUCCUCCUGAGUGCUGUUGGUUCACGGGUUGAUAAUGAACAAAGUCAACUCUCAGAAGUCAUUCAGUCUGUCUUCCCUAGGGGGGAAAAAAGCACUCACUGCUAUCACAAAGGCACAGGUAGGAAAUCUCUACUGCAUUCAGGAAGGCUUGGGGCUACCUCCUCAGCUUAGGCCCUCUUCUUACUUCAGCAUUCGGGUGCACAUUCUAUAUAGCAACCAUGAUAUUGCUGCCCAUUGAUAGGUAUUGACUGCUAGUCUCUAAGUGUGUGUGUGGAGGGGUGGGGGUGCCUUAGCUGAAAAGAUAAAAGAAAAAGCCAUUAAAAGGAAGGACUCAAAGAACUAUUGUAUGAAUAUUUUAUGCUGAUGUAGUUCACAGUUUUGCUCACUCGUUAAGUGAUAACUAAAAAAAAUGAGAAGUAAACACAAGGAAGAGGCAGACAGUAAUUACAGUAUACUAGAAAAUUUGGGACAAUAUUCUAGAUGUCCUUUUGACAAAGUCUGGCCAUUAUAGACCCUAUGCAUAGGAGGUACUUGUAAAGGGUCUUGAGGUUGAAUGGAUUUAGCUAAGGCAUAUUGCAAAUAUUAUUCUUGGGAUUUCUUAUCUGCAAGAUAUUAUAUAUCCUAUUUCAAAGAACAGUGACACGCAUCUGGGAGAAUUCAUCUAUUUGAUCACCACGAGAAGAAUUAAAUAAUAGCUGGAUUUUUAAGAAGUUCAACUCAUCCUCCCAACAGUCCUGUGGAAUAGGUAUUGUUGUUAUUCAUAUAUUGCAGACAGGGAAACGAAACCCCAGGUGGUCCAAGAUCACACAGCCAAUAGGUGCUUGUGUUGGGACCCACAGCCAACGGUGUGUGGGCCCAACUACAUGUAGCCCUGUUUCCAAGGCAGUUGCCACUUCCGUCUGAGACACUAUAAGAUAAGGUUAGAUAAAUGUGUUUAUGGGUUGACAGGUAUGGCUAAGCUAUCAUACCUCCGGGAAGACCUUGUUUAUCAUUUCUCAUCGUUUUUACAAAAGCAGGUCUUGUAGCAGCUCAUAUUAUAUCACCAAUAAAUAAAACUGGUGAUCAUCAACCCUAAAUGUUCAUUAUAGAAACCUGACAUCAUUUUUAUUCAUGUAGAAUUCACUUCUUUAACGGUGCUUUUAGGAAAUGAGCAAAUGCUUGUAGGAGAGCCAAGAGGAAAAUGGUGUCCAUUUUCUAAGUGAUGAAAAAGCAUCCCUGUACUUACGUAGUGAUAUUUGAUGUAUGUGUUCAUAAACUCUCUUGCUGUUUUCAGGGGAAGUUAAUAAAAAUACCUGUUUUGGAGAUGA
Long non-coding RNA from Mesocricetus auratus (golden hamster), 2211 nucleotides. RefSeq lists it as uncharacterized. The record is from RefSeq and is a predicted model, not a curated record. The transcript has 3 exons. Lineage: Eukaryota; Metazoa; Chordata; Mammalia; Rodentia; Cricetidae.